This 253-nucleotide ribosomal RNA is filed under the name uncultured bacterium. RNAcentral describes it as "partial 16S ribosomal RNA". It matches the Rfam family "Bacterial small subunit ribosomal RNA", at positions 524 to 776 of the family's 1533-position model. The record is from RNAcentral.
UACAGAGGGUGCGAGCGUUAAUCGGAAUUACUGGGCGUAAAGCGUGCGCAGGCGGUUUUGUAAGUCAGAUGUGAAAUCCCCGGGCUUAACCUGGGAACUGCGUUUGAAACUACAAGGCUAGAGUGUGGCAGAGGGGGGUGGAAUUCCACGUGUAGCAGUGAAAUGCGUAGAGAUGUGGAGGAACACCGAUGGCGAAGGCAGCCCCCUGGGUUAACACUGACGCUCAGGCACGAAAGCGUGGGGAGCAAACAGG